CCUACGGGAGGCAGCAGUGGGGAAUCUUGGGCAAUGGGCGAAAGCCUGACCCAGCAAUGCCGCGUGAAUGAAGAAGGUCUUCGGAUCGUAAAACUCUGUUCUAUGGGAAGAAAAAAAUGACGGUACCAUAGGAGGAAGCUCCGGCUAACUACGCGCCAGCAGCCGCGGUAAUACGUAGGGGGCGAGCGUUGUCCGGAUUUACUGGGCGUAAAGGGAGCGUAGGCGGCACUACAAGUCUCAUGUGAAGUACCCGGGCUUAACUGGGGGGUUGCAUGGGAAACUGUAGGGCUUGAGUACAGGAGAGGCGAGCGGAAUUCCUAGUGUAGCGGUGAAAUGCAUAGAUAUUAGGAGGAACACCAGGGGCGAAGGCGGCUUGCUGGACUGAAACUGACGCUGAGGCUCGAAAGCGUGGGGAGCAAACAGGAUUAGAUACCCUGGUAGUC
This 443-nucleotide ribosomal RNA is filed under the name uncultured bacterium. RNAcentral's name for it is "partial 16S ribosomal RNA". It matches the Rfam family "Bacterial small subunit ribosomal RNA", at positions 338 to 795 of the family's 1533-position model. The record is from RNAcentral.